Molecule: ribosomal RNA, 133 nt
Filed under: uncultured bacterium
Lineage: Bacteria
Description: partial 16S ribosomal RNA
Source: RNAcentral
GGUUCACGUCAUCUACUCGGCAUUCCCUCCGAGUAUUAUUCCUCCCCAGGAAAAGAACUUUACAAUCUCACGACAUUCUUCGUUCACGCGGCGUCGCUCCGUCAGGCUUUCGCCCAUUGCGGAAGAUUCUUAG